AGGAAAAGUGACUUUUCCAUCCUCCUCCUAGAGAGAUUCUCUGGAUAAUUCCUGCUUCUGGCUGAUAACCUUUUGGGGUCUUCAACAGCAUCAUUUGGAAAACAGUGCCACUGAACUCAACAAAACACUCAGGAAGCACCUACUACAUGCCAGACAGAGCACCAGUCUAUGGCUAUGAGGUCUAGAACCACUGCAACCAUUUGUGACCAUGCAGGAAGAUUCUGGAACUGCUAUAGGUUGUGGGGAAGCCCAGAAAGGUGCCUGAAGAGGAAGCCAACACCACAGAAGGCAGAGCCAAGAGGAGAAAAAGAAGUUCUUGUGAUGGCAUCAAGUCCCUGGAUCAAGCCUCACCUGAAGCCUAACCUAUUGCUGGUCUUUUUAGUGGCCUCAGCCAGUUAAAUGUUCUUUAUUAUAUAACCCAAUUUAAAUAAGGAUUUCUAUGUCUUGCAACAUAAAGGGCCCAUGUAUAAGGAAACCUUAGAAUAGGUACCCAACAGUGCCAAGGGCCUCCUCUGCACCCCAAGCCUCUAGGAGGAAGUGAGCCUGUUCCAGAACCCAAAUAAAAGGUCUCUCCUCCCACUUCUC
Dama dama (fallow deer) is the source of this 585-nucleotide long non-coding RNA. RefSeq lists it as uncharacterized. The record is from RefSeq and is a predicted model, not a curated record. The transcript has 3 exons. Lineage: Eukaryota; Metazoa; Chordata; Mammalia; Artiodactyla; Cervidae.